GCCUGGGUGGCUCAGUCGGUUGAGCGUCUGACCUCGGCUCAGGUCACGAUCUCACAGUUUGUGGGUUCAAGCCCCAUGUCAGGCC
This 85-nucleotide transfer RNA is filed under the name Felis catus (domestic cat). It matches the Rfam family "tRNA". Rfam says of the family: Transfer RNA (tRNA) molecules are approximately 80 nucleotides in length. Their secondary structure includes four short double-helical elements and three loops (D, anti-codon, and T loops). Lineage: Eukaryota; Metazoa; Chordata; Mammalia; Carnivora; Felidae. The record is from Rfam by way of RNAcentral.